This 163-nucleotide unclassified non-coding RNA is filed under the name uncultured fungus. RNAcentral describes it as "sequence contains ITS1". The record is from RNAcentral. Lineage: Eukaryota; Fungi.
CGGAGUUUUAGAGGCUGCUCUUGCAGUUUUAACUCCCUUUCUUGUCUAUUCAAAUUCAAAUACUUCGGCGGGAUCUCUUUGGAGCUUGCCUUUUGGCAAGUAAUGCCCGCCGAACAAUCAACACUUGAGAAUUUUGGCGUCUGAGUUUUAUUGAAAUGAAACA